This 253-nucleotide ribosomal RNA is filed under the name uncultured bacterium. RNAcentral's name for it is "partial 16S ribosomal RNA". It matches the Rfam family "Bacterial small subunit ribosomal RNA", at positions 524 to 776 of the family's 1533-position model. The record is from RNAcentral.
UACGAGGGGGGCGAGCGUUGUUCGGAAUUACUGGGCGUAAAGCGCGUGUAGGCUGCUCCGAAAGUCGGAUGUGAAAGCCCUGGGCUCAACCUAGGAAGUGCACUCGAAACUUCGGAGCUGGAGUCCUGGAGAGGAAGGCGGAAUUCUCGGUGUAGAGGUGAAAUUCGUAGAUAUCGAGAGGAACACCGGUGGCGAAGGCGGCCUUCUGGACAGUGACUGACGCUGAGACGCGAAAGCGUGGGGAGCAAACAGG